Molecule: ribosomal RNA, 515 nt
Filed under: uncultured bacterium
Lineage: Bacteria
Description: partial 16S ribosomal RNA
Rfam family: Bacterial small subunit ribosomal RNA
Source: RNAcentral
GAUGAACGCUGGCGGCGUGCCUAAUACAUGCAAGUCGAGCGAAUGGAUUAAGAGCUUGCUCUUAUGAAGUUAGCGGCGGACGGGUGAGUAACACGUGGGUAACCUGCCCAUAAGACUGGGAUAACUCCGGGAAACCGGGGCUAAUACCGGAUAAUAUUUUGAACUGCAUGGUUCAAAAUUGAAAGGCGGCUUCGGCUGUCACUUAUGGAUGGACCCGCGUCGCAUUAGCUAGUUGGUGAGGUAACGGCUCACCAAGGCAACGAUGCGUAGCCGACCUGGGAGGGUGAUCGGGCCAACUGGGACUGAGACACGGCCCAGACUCCUACGGGAGGCAGCAGUAGGGAAUCUUCCGCAAUGGACGAAAGUCUGACGGAGCAACGCCGCGUGAGUGAUGAAGGCUUUCGGGUCGUAAAACUCUGUUGUUAGGGAAGAACAAGUGCUAGUUGAAUAAGCUGGCACCUUGACGGUACCUAACCAGAAAGCCACGGCUAACUACGUGCCAGCCGCCGCGGUAA